GACGAACGCUGGCGGCGUGCUUAACACAUGCAAGUCGAACGGAAAGGCCCUGCUUUUGUGGGGUGCUCGAGUGGCGAACGGGUGAGUAACACGUGAGUAACCUGCCCUUGACUUUGGGAUAACUUCAGGAAACUGGGGCUAAUACCGGAUAGGAGCUCCUGCUGCAUGGUGGGGGUUGGAAAGUUUCGGCGGUUGGGGAUGGACUCGCGGCUUAUCAGCUUGUUGGUGGGGUAGUGGCUUACCAAGGCUUUGACGGGUAGCCGGCCUGAGAGGGUGACCGGCCACAUUGGGACUGAGAUACGGCCCAGACUCCUACGGGAGGCAGCAGUAGGGAAUAUUGCACAAUGGGCGGAAGCCUGAUGCAGCACCGCCGCGUGCGGGAUGACGGCCUUCGGGUUGUAAACCGCUUUCGCCUGUGACGAAGCGUGAGUGACGGUAAUGGGUAAAGAAGCACCGGCUAACUACGUG
RNAcentral lists this ribosomal RNA (468 nucleotides) under uncultured bacterium. RNAcentral describes it as "partial 16S ribosomal RNA". It matches the Rfam family "Bacterial small subunit ribosomal RNA", at positions 28 to 507 of the family's 1533-position model. The record is from RNAcentral.